Molecule: ribosomal RNA, 253 nt
Filed under: uncultured bacterium
Lineage: Bacteria
Description: partial 16S ribosomal RNA
Rfam family: Bacterial small subunit ribosomal RNA
Source: RNAcentral
UACGUAGGGUGCGAGCGUUAAUCGGAAUUACUGGGCGUAAAGCGUGCGCAGGCGGCGCGUUAAGACAGGUGUGAAAGCCCCGAGCUUAACUUGGGAAUUGCGCUUGUGACUGGCGUGCUGGAGUGUGGCAGAGGGACGCGGAAUUCCAGGUGGAGCGGUGAAAUGCGUAGAGAUCUGGAAGAACACCAAAGGCGAAGGCAGCGUCCUGGGAAGCAUCUGACGCUCAGGUGCGAAAGCUAGGGGAGCGAACGGG